GUGCUUACUUUGGCAGCUCGUAUACUAAAAUAGUAAUGAUACAGAGAAGAUUAGCAUAGCCCCUGCACAAGAAUGACACAAAUUUAUGUAAUGUUCCAUAUUAAA
Monodelphis domestica (gray short-tailed opossum) is the source of this 105-nucleotide small nuclear RNA. The record is from Ensembl. Lineage: Eukaryota; Metazoa; Chordata; Mammalia; Didelphimorphia; Didelphidae.